This 106-nucleotide non-coding RNA is filed under the name Massilia sp. Leaf139. Its description in RNAcentral is "Glycine riboswitch aptamer". It matches the Rfam family "Glycine riboswitch aptamer". From Rfam's summary of the family: This family represents the bacterial glycine riboswitch. Glycine riboswitches usually consist of two metabolite-binding aptamers domains with similar structures in tandem. RNAcentral also lists the same sequence under 1 other name. The record is from Rfam by way of RNAcentral. Lineage: Bacteria; Pseudomonadati; Pseudomonadota; Betaproteobacteria; Burkholderiales; Oxalobacteraceae.
AGGAUCAACUCUGGAGAGCGGCCCCGGUAAUCGCCCGGGCCCACCGAAGGGGCAGGCGGCCACACAGGGCUGCUAUCUCUCAGGUACCAAGGACAGAGGGGCGCGC